This 484-nucleotide ribosomal RNA is filed under the name uncultured bacterium. Its description in RNAcentral is "partial 16S ribosomal RNA". It matches the Rfam family "Bacterial small subunit ribosomal RNA", at positions 30 to 507 of the family's 1533-position model. The record is from RNAcentral.
AUUGAACGCUGGCGGCAGGCCUAACACAUGCAAGUCGAGCGGAUGAAGGGAGCUUGCUCCUGGAUUCAGCGGCGGACGGGUGAGUAAUGCCUAGGAAUCUGCCUGGUAGUGGGGGAUAACGUCCGGAAACGGGCGCUAAUACCGCAUACGUCCUGAGGGAGAAAGUGGGGGAUCUUCGGACCUCACGCUAUCAGAUGAGCCUAGGUCGGAUUAGCUAGUUGGUGGGGUAAAGGCCUACCAAGGCGACGAUCCGUAACUGGUCUGAGAGGAGGAGCAGUCACACUGGAACUGAGACACGGUCCAGACUCCUACGGGAGGCAGCAGUGGGGAAUAUUGGACAAUGGGCGAAAGCCUGAUCCAGCCAUGCCGCGUGUGUGAAGAAGGUCUUCGGAUUGUAAAGCACUUUAAGUUGGGAGGAAGGGCAGUAAGUUAAUACCUUGCUGUUUUGACGUUACCAACAGAAUAAGCACCGGCUAACUUCGUG